Molecule: long non-coding RNA, 7945 nt
Filed under: Lynx pardinus (Iberian lynx)
Lineage: Eukaryota; Metazoa; Chordata; Mammalia; Carnivora; Felidae
Source: RNAcentral
UCUCUGGUCAAGCAUGGCUUAUGGCACCUAAUGGGUGCCAGCUCAACUCAUUACAUCUGACAAAGUCUCAAGAAAACAGAGUUUACCAGAUUUAUCCAUUUUUAUGUUUAAGUUAACAAAGACGGAGGAAAUCAUCCAAGUGACCCAUCAUAGAGCACUUCCAGUUCUAAAGAAUACUGACUUACUUCAGGUGACAACACACUACCAUUUUUAAGUUUCUCGUCCACACUGUUUCUUCGUCUCUGUAGCUGAUCCUUCUCUUUCUGGAGGGCCUGAACUUGUUCAGAAAUCUUUAUUUUCUCCUCAGCCGUGCUGCGUUGCAGCUCUACAUUCUUUUCAGACAACUCUUGGUCCAACAAGUUCAGGCGAGUUGAUAUUUUCAAACUAUCUAUGUUUAAGACCUAAAAAGACACAAUCAACCAAACACCCCAAAAACAGUUAUUAGAAACCCAAACUGCAUAUAAAUUAGGAAAAACAGAAAAAAGUUACUAACUGAAUAUAUUUUGAGCUUCCACAUUAUUGUUUUCUCUUAUGGAGUUUUUUGGGCUGGGGGGUUCAUUUUUUAAAAUCUUAAGUCGAAUGCCUUUUUUUUUUUUUUUUUUUAAUGGAGAUUCCAAUGAUGAAUUUACUGCCAAGUAUUGCUUGGCUAUACCAGACUACAGAGUAUUGGUUUUAAGAGGUAACAGUUUUUGGGGGGCGCCUGGGUGGCUCAGUCGGUUAAGCGUCUGACUUCGGCUCAGGUCAUGAUAUCACGGUCCAUGAGUUCGAGCCCCGCGUCGGGCUUUGUGCUGACAGCUCAGAGCCUGGAGCCUGUUUCAGAUUCUGUGUCUCCCUCUCUCUAUGACCCUCCCCCGUUCAUGCUCUGUCUCUCUGUCUCAAAAAUAAAUAAACGUUAAAAAAAAAUUAUUUUUAAAAAGAGGUAAUUUUUUUUUAAUUAUUUUUUAAAUUAAACUUUUCUUCCUUGGCCUGUUACACAGUUAUAUGAUCUGUAACUAUAAGUUCUCUAUAGGUUGAGAUUUGGUUUGUUGUUUAAACAUAUAAUUUGUUUCUGCUCUUAUUUCAUUCUGGUCAGAAAAUAUGGCCAAUUAGAGUAAUGGAGAUCUUCAUUAUGGCCUAACUUAAAAGAAUUUUUUUUUAAGAAAAUUUUUAAGGUGCACCUGAGUGGCUCAUUCGGUUAAGUAUCCAGCUCUUGAUUUUGGCUCAGGUCAAGAUCUCACAGUGAGUGUGAGCCUUGCGUCAGGCUCUAUGCUGGUAGUGUGGAGCCUGCUUGGGAUUCUCUCUCUCUUCCUCUCUCUCACAACUUCCUGGCCCAUGUUCUGUCUCUCUCAAAAUAAACAAACAUUAAAAAAAGAAAAUUCUUAAAAUAGAUUUUCAUCUAAGUAAUUACAUGUAUAUAUACCACAGGUUUAAAAGUUUUUUAAAAAGCAGUCUCCCUACCCCACCCUCUUACCUGAGUCCCACUCUCCAGAAACAACUAUCUUCAACCUUUCUAGCUAUUUCUGCUUGUGUUAAUGUCCAUGUUUCUAAAUAACAUAACCAAUUUCAAAUAGUGCCCAUAGAUGGACUAUUAUGGAAGACGAGCACUUGGCACUAUUAUGCCUCCUCUAUUUCUCCUCCCUCUAGUCUCCCAGUAUAAGGUGUAUUACAGUUUUAUGUUAAAUCAAUAUUCAGUUCACAUAGCUUUGUGAGUAUUAUUCACAGCUCAAAUGUCUCGUAUAAAAUUAUCAUUUCCCAUAGGGUAUGACUGCUGGUAUGUUCUACUAAUUCUUCUCCAAUACAAUUAUACAGUUCCUCUCAAUACUGGUUUUUUUCACUUGACCAAAACAUAAAUCAGGUCAUCUUUUUGUUCUAUUCUUUUUCUGGAAACAUUUUGCCUGAAAUCUCCAUCCUCCUGCUCCAAACUGGACUAGUUAUUCUGGAACUUCCUUUUAGUAUUAUCCCUGGAAUUUCCAUGUUGGAUCACACUUUCAGUACCCCAAGUCUUCCUUUUUCAUAGCUGAUGCCCUCAUUUUUGUGGAGCAUAUCCUCUAGUAGUUUCCUGAGAGAUGAGGUCAGAGAUCAUUCUUUUCACUUGAAAAUGCCCUUAUUCUGCCUCCAUAUUUGAUUCAGAGUUAGGCUCAAAAGAAGUCUUGAUUGGAAAUAAUUUUCCUUGUGAGUUGGAAGACUGCUGCAGGUCUUUUAGUGUCUACUGAAGAAGGUUGAGAAGUCCAAUAUCAUUCUGAUUGUUGAGAUUUACAAGUGACUCAUGUCUUCUGUCUGGUAGUUUUCAGGAUCUUUUUUUUUUUUUUUUUCCUCAGUAUACUUAAAACUUCACAGUGAUAAGCUUUUGGCACUCAUUUUGCAGGCCCUUGAUGACCAAUUUCCAUCUAGAGUCUCACAUCUUCAGUGCUGGGAAAAUUUUUGUAUUGUCUUUGAUAGUCCCCUCUUCUGUUUUCCCUGUUAUAGCUUUCUGAAAUUCCAUUUCUUGGACGUUGGACUUCUGGAUUUAUCUGCCAAUUAAAUUUUUUUUCUCUUAUUUUCUAUUAAUUUAUUCUUUUAUUUACUUUCUGGGAUAUUUUCUCAAUGUUAUCCUCCAACGCUUUAAAUUUCCAACAGUUCUCGGGGUGCCUGGGUGGCUCAGUCAGUUGAGCAUCUGACUCUUGAUUUCGGCUCAGGUCAUGAUUCCAAGGUCAUGGGAUUGAGCCCUGUGUUGGGCUCCGUGAUGAGUGUGGAGCGUGCUUAAGAUUCUCUCUAUCUCCCUCUCUGUCCCUCUCUCCCUCUCGCAUGUUCUCUCUCUAGAAUAUAAAACAUAUGUUGAAAAAAUUAAAAAUAAAAUGUUUAAAUUUCUAGCAGUUCUCAUUUUAUGGAUAGACUAUAUAAUCUUUCAACACCUUGAGAAUAUUAAAGGUUUUUUGAAAGUUUUUUUCAGUUCCUUCCUCUAUUUCUGAUGUCUCUGAGCUUCUUUUUUUCUUUUGGACUCUGACUUUCAUGUUAGUAGCAUUCCUGACAUGGAUGUCACAUUUAAGAGUUAGGUAUGAAAAUGCUGAUAAGUUCUGUAGUAGGUAUACUUUGUCACCAUGGGAUGUAUCUGGGGUCUGGCCACUUAGUUGGGGGCCCCCAAAGGUGUUUUUAGGUCUUUCUUCAUGGACUGUUUCAGAAAAUCCAACAAUGUCUUGUUUGGAAGUAUAAAUCUGGCUGUCAGCAUUUUGGGAUCCAAGUAGGUGUUGAAAUGGCUAUCUCAGGAUUCCUACGUAGACUGACUUUUAUUCAUUACCUCUUUUGAGUAUUCUGACUUACCGUGACCAUCUGCUGUACCUGGUUCAAGCUUCAGAAAAUAAACCGUCUGGUCUUCAAAGUGAGAAAAGGGUGGUUUCCUGAUGAUGUCGUUUCCAUCCUAUGCCUCACUUCUGCCUUCUGAAAAUCUUAGUCCCUUCAUUUCGGAGUCUUUUUGUAUUCUAUGUGAAUUCUAUCUCAUAAAGGUAUCAUUACUAAAAAAAAAAAAAGUUUUUUUACAUUUAUUUAUUUUUGAGAGACAGAGCACAAGUGGGGGAGGGGCAGAGAGAGAAGGAGACACAGAAUCUGAAGCAGGCUCCAGGCUCUGAGCUAUCACACAGAGCCUGACGCAGGGUUUGAACCCACAAACCAUGAGAUCAUGACCUGAGCCGAAGUCAGAUGCUCAACCAACUGAGCCACCCAGGCACUCCUCUCAUAAAGGUAUUAUUAAAAAAAACAAAAACAAACAAACAAAAUACUAGGGGUGCCUGGGUGACUUAGUUGGUUAAGGGUCUGACUUUGGCUCGCGGUCUGUGAGUUUGAGCCCCCACUGGGCUCUGUGCUGACAGCUCAGAGCCUGGUACCUGCUUUGGAUUCUGUGUCUCCCUCUCUCUCUGCCCCUAUCCCGCUCAUGCUCUAUCUCUCAAAAAAAACAAACAAACAAAAAAACAAAAAAAAAAAACUCAUGCUACAGCUCUCAUUCAUGUCCCUCUUAAGCUCUCAAGGCAUUUGGAUUCCAGCCUCUUCUGCUAAGUAAGUAACUACUUACCUAUACCUUCCCAUCUUACAUUUUUUGGUAAUCUUUAGUCUUCUGUAUCUUUUUUUUUUCCUUUAUGGGCUUAUAGCUUUUUUUUUGAGUAAUAGCUUUAUUGAGAUCUAAUUCACAUACCGAACAAUUCACCUAAUUAUUUAUUUUUAAAGAUUUUAUUUUAAGUAAUCUCUAUACCCAAUAUGGGUCUUGAACUCCCAAUCCUGAGACCAAGAGUUGCACACUCCACAGACUGAGCCAGCCAGGCGCCCCUAAGUCCCCGAUUUAAGUGUAUAAUUCAAUGGCUUUUAGUACUCUCACAGAGUUGUGCACCCAUCACCACAAUCAAUUUUAGAACGUUUUCAUUGUCCUCAAAAAUAAAACCCCAUGCCCCCUAGCAGUCAUUCCACUCCCCAUUCCCCACUCAGCCCUAAGCAACCAUUAUUCUACUUUUUGUCUCUACAGACUUGCCUCAUCUGCACAUUGAUAUAAAUUACAUGUACAUACAACAUGGGUCUUUCAUGACUGGUUUCUUUCCCUUAACACAAUGUUUUUGGGGUUCAUCCAUGUGGUAGCAUGUAUCAGAACUUCAUUCUUUUCUAUAGCUGAGUAACAUACCCUAGUACGGAUAUACCACUUUCUGUUUAUCCCAUUCAUCGGCUAAUGGGACAUUUGAAUUUUUUUCAUUUUGAGGCUAUUGUGAUUAAUGCUGUUAUGCACAUUCAUGUACAAGCUUUUGUGUAGACAUGUGCUUUCACUUCUCUUGGAUAUAUACCUAGGAGUGGAGUGGCUGGGUGACAUAGUAAUGCUAUGAUUAACCUUUUGAAGAACUGUAAGAUAGUUAUCCAAGGCAACUGUACCAUUUUACAAUCCCACAAGCAGUGCAUUAAAAUUCCAAUUUCUUCAUAUUGUCGCCAACACUUAGUGUCUAUUUUCCUGACUACAGCAAUCCCAGUAAGUGUGAAGGAGUAUCUCAUCUAUGUUUUGAUUUGCAUACCCCUGAUGGCUACUGAUGUUUCAUAUGUUUAUUGGCCAUUUGUAUAUCUUCUUUGAGAAAUGUCUACUAGAUCCUUCACCCAUUUUUAAUUGAAUUGUCUUUUUAUUACUGAGUUAAGACUUCUUUAUAUAUUCUAGAGACAAGUCCUUUAUCAAGUAUAUGAUUUGCAAACAUUUCUCCCCAUUCUGUGGGUUGUCUUUUCAACACCAACUUUCUUGGUGUCCUUUGCAUAACAAAUGUUUUUAAUUUUGAUGAAGUCCAAUUUAUCUAAUAUUUCUUUUAUUGCUUUUGCUUCAGGUAUAGCAAAGAAACUAUUGCUUAACCCAAGAUCACAAGGAUUUACACCUUUGUUUUUUCCUAAGGGUUUUAUAGUUUUACCUCUUACACUUAGGUCUGCGACUUACUUUGAGUUGAAAUCGUAUAUGGUAUGAAAAUAGGUUUUUUUAUAUCACAUUCCAUGUCCAAAAUACAUAGGAUUGAACCUUAUAAAUAUUUCUUAAAACACUGGAAAAAAAUGUAAUCUAUUCACACCUUUUGUUCAGGAAAGAACCCAGCAGUAUAACAUCACCAAGUUUCUCUUCUGUUUCAUUAAAACAAUCUUCAAAGAAUCAAUUUUGCUUUGCUGUGCUGUGGGUUUCAUUUAUUUGUACUCUCUACUUACCUCAGUAUGUUCUUGCUUCCUAAAUUUUACAUCUUGUUCAAAGUAGAAAACUUCAAUUUUUCCCCCCUGUAUCAUGAAGUAAACUUAUUUUAGGAGAAAGUUUUUUUUGUUUUUUGUUUUUUCCUCUUUUUUCUUUUGCGAUAUGGAACAUAUAGUAAAGGUCCCAGUUUAUUUUCUUCUAUUUACACAUUGAUAUUUAAAUGUGUUCAUCUCUCUUGCUGUCAUUUACAUGUUUUGAGGGGUAGCUUUUCAAACUCGGCCCUGACAGGGGCAUCUGGCUGACUCCACUGGAGGAGGGUGCAACCUGUGAUCUCAGGGUAGUGAGUUUGAGCUCCAUGCGAUGUGUAGAGACUACUUAAAAAUAAUAAUAAACUUAAAAAAUAAAAAAAUAUAUAUAAAAGUAAAAAUAAAACUUGGCCCUUACAGCAAGCGUGAGCAAGCUACCUGAUACAGCACCAACAACAAGCCUGGUUAGAGGGGCUGCCCCUAUCCCUGGGUGCCAAUAGCUAUUCAACAUGAAUGGGGAAAGGAGGACAGAGCAGAGGUAAGUUCAGGUUUCCACACUUGUCUGCCUGUUGUAUUGAGGUGGAGAGGCUAAGAACACACGACCAUUAUCUCAGAUCUUACUGGUCUAGAUGCAGCCUGAAAGGAAGGUCUACUAAAGAGGCAGGUCAUUGAUCCUUGCUGUUCAAUUACUCAAUGUAUAGACUGUCCUCGGCCUGAUGGGCAGAAAGUCCUCCUCAAGUGUGGGGCAAGCCAGCUUCAUUUUCAGAUGCUGUUAUUGCUAUAGUUGAAAAUAUACAUAGCUACAUCCAAAAAACGUAUCCCCUGGUUCUUCUAUUCCUUCCAUAAUCAUUCCUUUUUCAAAACCUGAAAUUGAGGCAAACCCCUUCAUAAAAAUCACUUCUUUGGCUCAUAAAACCCACGUUCUCCAGCAAAAGUUCUUGUAAAGGUCCCCAAGUCAUUAUAAUUUGAAAACUGAACAAAUCUUCAUCACGUAAAAUCUCUCUUUUACAGCAACCCUGCAAACCCCUAACUUUGGGUAGUAGUGAUAGCUAGAUCAUUUUUUUUUAAAUAUUUAUUUAUUUUUGAGAGAAAGGGAGAGACAGAGUGCGAGGAGGGGAGGGACAGAGACAGAGGGAGACACAGAAUCUGAAGCAGGCUCCAGGUUCCGAGCUGUCAGGACAGAGCCUGAUGUGGAGCUUAAACUCACAAAUGGUGAGAUCAUGACCUGAGCUGAAGUAGGACGCUCAACCAACUGAGCCACCCAGGCACCCCAAUAGCUAGAUCAUUUUUAAGUCUAUUUUCCCAAAUUACCAGUGUUCUCUAUACAGCAUCAAAUGGUACAAUUUAUUUCUUAAAUAUCCACUAAAAUUAAUAACCGAGGUUGCAGGGAGAAAAGGAGAGUUACUGCUUAAUGGUUAUAGACUUUCUGUUUGGGGUAAUAAAACAUUUUGGAAAUAGGGUUAACAUUGUGAACGUAAUUAAUGCCACUGAAUCACACACUUAAAAAUGGUCAGAAUGGCCAAUUUUAUGUUAUGUCUAUUUUACCAUAAUUUUUCAAAUACCCAAAAAUGUUAAUAAUAAUAUACUUGGCAGAACAUUGAACCAAUGAACAUUGAACAUCCGACUUCAAAAUUGCAAUAGAUUUUAGUAGUGGUCAUUAAAUAAGCACUAAUAUGCAAAAAUACAUUGAAAACCAGAAGAAUUUUCUUUUGGUUUCUAAUUUCAUAGUAGUAUGCUUUACUUCUUAGAGAGAAAGGUAAUCCUAGUUUAUAUGGCUUACACCCAGAAUCCAAGAGCAUAACAAAUAGCAUACCUGGCUGGAUCUCAACUUCUUAUUUUCCAGGUGGCUCUUCUCCUGUAACAGGGCCUCCUUCUUACAAACUAUGGCCUCUCGUUUUUUUAAAUCUUCUUCCAGCUCCUCCAAUUCUUGGCGUUGGUUCAGGACUUUUUCUACUUCUUCAUCUAACCAUUUCUUUUGCUCAUCCAAUUUCUACAUUAAAAUUUCAAAGAAACGUUAUUACAUCAUUUAUUUUUCUUCUGCCAUAGGAUGUAUAUUGUAAUAAUGCAAUUUCAGAUUGGCUAAAAUACCUUAAAUGAACAUUUAAAAACUAUUGGUGAGAAUAACAAAACAGUGUUCCUGUCUAAAAUCAUUAGGAAGUGGUUCCAGUUAACAUCUUGCUGUGUUUUAUAGGGAAUUAAGAUGUAUUCUCCGAACAUGUUUGAGUCUGGGAUUUUCUAAGUUGACAAAAGGACUGACAAUUUUUCCAUACAUAUAUUAAGA